RNAcentral lists this transfer RNA (67 nucleotides) under Callosobruchus chinensis (azuki bean weevil). RNAcentral describes it as "tRNA-Tyr". The record is from RNAcentral. Lineage: Eukaryota; Metazoa; Arthropoda; Insecta; Coleoptera; Chrysomelidae.
UGGUAAAAGGAACUAUUAUUUUCCAUACAUAAAUUUACAAUUUAUUGCUUUUAUCAGCCAUUUCACC